Molecule: long non-coding RNA, 626 nt
Organism: Mauremys mutica (yellowpond turtle)
Lineage: Eukaryota; Metazoa; Chordata; Testudines; Geoemydidae
Exons: 3
Source: RefSeq, a predicted model, not a curated record
GUGUGAGUAGCUGAAAGUCUCCUCCUAGAUGUUCCUUCAGUCUCCUAAAGAUAAUGUCCUCAGAGGCUGCUGGGGGAAGGGAGGAAAAUGCAGCUGCAAUGAAGGGGUUCCAGUCUUGUAAGGCUGGUGCUCUCAGCAUCAGGACUUAAGUGCUAAAGAGAGAAACGGGUGUUGUACUCGCCCUCUGAACAGAAGAGAAUUUCACCUUUUGUGAUUCUGGCAAGACUACUCCUGGAAUUCUGUGUUUAUUUCAUGACUACCACCUUACCAGAAAGGUGGAGAGAAGAUGGAGGGAGUACAGGAAAGGGCAUCAAAUAGUCCUUUGAUGACUGGACGGACUGAGUUAUGACGAAAAGCCUGAAAGGAAUAGGUCCAAUGAGGGAUGCUAAGGAGGAGGUAGCAUCAGGAGUGUCUGCUUCAUGCUCCCGGUGUUGCUCAGGAAUGUAGCCAAACCUGAUGAAGGUAGUCUUUUCAUGUGGGACAAUGAAGGCGCAACAGUCUGAUGAUAAAUCUUGUGCUCUGAGCAACUUGUGGGGAGGUAUCAGCCAUAAAGGUAAAACUGGCUCCUUCAAACUAUUCCACUUGCUAUCUUAAGCUAAUUACCAAGUUACUCCCAGAAAAGCAAU